Molecule: long non-coding RNA, 202 nt
Filed under: Daucus carota (carrot)
Lineage: Eukaryota; Viridiplantae; Streptophyta; Magnoliopsida; Apiales; Apiaceae
Description: long non-coding RNA (DCAR_LNC002180)
Source: RNAcentral
AAGCUCGUAAGAAGGCUGGAAAACUGGCUUGUGUUGGGCUAUCUUCUACUGCUACAAACGCUGAGAUUAAAUGGUGCUUGAAGUAUUUUGAUAAGGGCUGUAUCUGGGCGCGCCCUCAUCCUUGGAUGAGGCCUCAUAUUUUCGACUACAACCCCAGGUUACGAAUUCCUAGGAUGGUUCUUACUCCUAAACUUGUCAAGUU